This 334-nucleotide ribosomal RNA is filed under the name uncultured eukaryote. RNAcentral describes it as "partial 18S ribosomal RNA". It matches the Rfam family "Eukaryotic small subunit ribosomal RNA", at positions 1470 to 1796 of the family's 1831-position model. The record is from RNAcentral.
CCCUUAGAUGUCCGGGGCCGCACGCGCGCUACACUGAAGGAAUCAGCGUGGCUUUCUCCCUGACCCGAAAGGGUUGGGAAACCCGUUGAAUCUCCUUCGUGAUAGGGAUUGGGGCUUGAAAUUGUUCCCCAUGAACGAGGAAUUCCCAGUAAGCGCGAGUCAUAAGCUCGCGUUGAUUACGUCCCUGCCCUUUGUACACACCGCCCGUCGCUACUACCGAUUGAACGGUUUAGUGAGGGCCUCGGAUUGGUGCCACUGCGGCUCAGCAAUGGGCUCGGUGGAUGCCGAAAAGUUGAUCAAACUUGAUCAUUUAGAGGAAGUAAAAGUCGUAACA